Molecule: ribosomal RNA, 393 nt
Filed under: uncultured bacterium
Lineage: Bacteria
Description: partial 16S ribosomal RNA
Rfam family: Bacterial small subunit ribosomal RNA
Source: RNAcentral
AUACGGAGGAUCCGAGCGUUAUCCGGAUUUAUUGGGUUUAAAGGGUGCGUAGGUGGAUUAAUAAGUCAGCGGUGAAAUCCCGGAGCUCAACUCCGAAACUGCCGUUGAAACUGUUAGUCUUGAGUGUGAACGAGGUAGGCGGAAUUCGUAGUGUAGCGGUGAAAUGCAUAGAUAUUACGAAGAACACCGAUAGCGCAGGCAGCUUACCAGGCCACAACUGACACUGAUGCACGAAAGUGUGGGUAUCAAACAGGAUUAGAUACCCUGGUAGUCCACACAGUAAACGAUGAAUACUAACUGUUUGCGAUAUACAGUAAGCGGUACAGCGAAAGCGUUAAGUAUUCCACCUGGGGAGUACGCCGACAACGGUGAAACUCAAAGGAAUUGACGGGG